AAAGUGUACUUACAUAAGUCCUGCUGAAAUAAAAUCUUAUGUUAUCAUUUUUUAUUUUGCCUUUAUGAGGCUAAAAUCAUGACAGACUGACAUGAACAAUU
Small nucleolar RNA from Artibeus jamaicensis (Jamaican fruit-eating bat), 101 nucleotides. RefSeq annotates it as small nucleolar RNA SNORA69. The record is from RefSeq and is a predicted model, not a curated record. NCBI's taxonomy places the organism in Eukaryota, Metazoa, Chordata, Mammalia, Chiroptera, Phyllostomidae. The transcript has a single exon.